AGUGAACGCUGGCGGCAGGCCUAACACAUGCAAGUCGAGCGGCAGCGCGGGGGCAACCCUGGCGGCGAGCGGCGGACGGGUGAGGAAUUCGUCGGAAUCUGCCUUUUUGUGGGGGAUAACGUAGGGAAACUUACGCUAAUACCGCAUACGUCCUACGGGAGAAAGUGGGGGACCGCAAGGCCUCACGCAGAAAGAUGAGCCGACGACCGAUUAGCUAGUUGGUGGGGUAAAGGCCCACCAAGGCGACGAUCGGUAGCUGGUCUGAGAGGAUGAUCAGCCACACUGGGACUGAGACACGGCCCAGACUCCUACGGGAGGCAGCAGUGGGGAAUAUUGGACAAUGGGCGCAAGCCUGAUCCAGCCAUGCCGCGUGUGUGAAGAGGGCCUUCGGGUUGUAAAGCACUUUUGUCCGGAAAGAAAUCCCUGGAGCUAAUACCUUCGGGGGAUGACGGUACCGGAAGAAUAAGCACCGGCUAACUUCGUG
Molecule: ribosomal RNA, 484 nt
Filed under: uncultured bacterium
Lineage: Bacteria
Description: partial 16S ribosomal RNA
Rfam family: Bacterial small subunit ribosomal RNA
Source: RNAcentral